UGGGGAAUAUUGCACAAUGGGCGGAAGCCUGAUGCAGCAACGCCGCGUGCGGGAUGACGGCCUUCGGGUUGUAAACCGCUUUCGCCUGUGACGAAGCGUGAGUGACGGUAAUGGGUAAAGAAGCACCGGCUAACUACGUGCCAGCAGCCGCGGUGAUACGUAGGGUGCGAGCGUUGUCCGGAUUUAUUGGGCGUAAAGGGCUCGUAGGUGGUUGAUCGCGUCGGAAGUGUAAUCUUGGGGCUUAACCCUGAGCGUGCUUUCGAUACGGGUUGACUUGAGGAAGGUAGGGGAGAAUAGAAUUCCUGGUGGAGCGGUGGAAUGCGCAGAUAUCAGGAGGAACACCAGUGGCGAAGGCGGUUCUCUGGGCCUUUCCUGACGCUGAGGAGCGAAAGCGUGGGGAGCGAACAGGCUUAGAUACCCUGGUAGUCCACGCUGUAAACGGUGGGUACUAGGUGUGGGGUCCAUUCCACGGGUUCCGUGCCGUAGCUAACGCUUUAAGUACCCCGCCUGGGGAGUACGGCCGCAAGGCUA
Molecule: ribosomal RNA, 531 nt
Filed under: uncultured bacterium
Lineage: Bacteria
Description: bacterial SSU rRNA
Rfam family: Bacterial small subunit ribosomal RNA
Source: RNAcentral